AUGAAGGCCCUAAAGUAUUUAAUAAACAAGUGAAAGCAUUCAUUGACCAAGGAUAUGUUAGAUCAAAGAAGUCUAGAGAGUCUGUAUCAAGUGUUGAUGCAAAUGUGGACGACAGUGCACAAAUAGACAGCCCUAACUUCAAGGAGAAGUAUUUAAAUCUUAAGG
This is a long non-coding RNA of Mercenaria mercenaria, 165 nucleotides long. RefSeq lists it as uncharacterized. The transcript is spliced from 3 exons. Lineage: Eukaryota; Metazoa; Mollusca; Bivalvia; Venerida; Veneridae. The record is from RefSeq and is a predicted model, not a curated record.